AAAUUCUGCUGCUUUUGGCCUCUCACAGAAAGAACCUCACUGCACUACCCCUGCAGUUUUGAACCUCACUGGUUACUCCAGCACACAGAUUUUCUUCUCCUGAAAAUCUGCCACCAAUGCCCAGAAAUCACCCUCACAAUUCUGGACAGGCUAACCUUCGCUGGACUGUUCUUCUACAGCCAAAAUCACCCUUGCCGAAACUGCUCAGCAACUUGCCCAGAAACUGGCAGAAAUAACCUCACUUCCUGCCAAACCAGCACCCCAAUAAUUUUGGCAGACUCUUGCCCAGAAUCAGCUGGAAAUAACCUCUCAAAGGCAAGCUGAACCUCACUGAAGCAGCAAUACCACCCUUUGGUAUUUUGGCAACUCCAAUCGCAGCAGCAAUAAACCUCACUAUAUGUUACCGCUGGCCAACCAGAACCGGGCAGAAUUUGCCUCCAAUGGCUCUGAUACCACUUCCCAAUGGUAUCAGCAGAAUGAACCUCGGCAGAAGUAGGCUCUGAUACCACUUCCCAAUGGUAUCAGCAGAAUGGACCUCAGCAGAAGUAGGCUCUGAUACCACUUGUCACGGGCUUAAUGAUUCCAACCCCGAAAAUCGCUUAAGCCGUGCGGCACUCAGCUCAGUCCGUCGAGCUAAGUCA
Molecule: long non-coding RNA, 641 nt
Filed under: Manihot esculenta (cassava)
Lineage: Eukaryota; Viridiplantae; Streptophyta; Magnoliopsida; Malpighiales; Euphorbiaceae
Description: long non-coding RNA (MESC_LNC013120)
Source: RNAcentral